This 489-nucleotide ribosomal RNA is filed under the name uncultured bacterium. Its description in RNAcentral is "partial 16S ribosomal RNA". It matches the Rfam family "Bacterial small subunit ribosomal RNA", at positions 30 to 523 of the family's 1533-position model. The record is from RNAcentral.
AUUGAACGCUGGCGGCAUGCCUUACACAUGCAAGUCGAACGAGGGUAGCAAUACCUUAGUGGCGAACGGGUGAGUAAUAUAUCGGAACGUACCCCGGAGUGGGGGAUAACGUAGCGAAAGUUACGCUAAUACCGCAUACGAUCUAAGGAUGAAAGUGGGGGAUCGCAAGACCUCAUGCUCCUGGAGCGGCCGAUAUCUGAUUAGCUAGUUGGUGGGGUAAAGGCCUACCAAGGCAUCGAUCAGUAGCUGUCUGAGAGGACGACCAGCCACACUGGAACUGAGACACGGUCCAGACUCCUACGGGAGGCAGCAGUGGGGAAUUUUGGACAAUGGGCGCAAGCCUGAUCCAGCAAUGCCGCGUGAGUGAAGAAGGCCUUCGGGUUGUAAAGCUCUUUUGUCAGGGAAGAAACGGUGAGGGCUAAUAUCCCUUGCUAAUGACGGUACCUGAAGAAUAAGCACCGGCUAACUACGUGCCAGCCGCCGCGGUAA